RNAcentral lists this long non-coding RNA (507 nucleotides) under Castor canadensis (American beaver). RNAcentral describes it as "lncRNA (ENSCCNG00000006946.1)". Lineage: Eukaryota; Metazoa; Chordata; Mammalia; Rodentia; Castoridae. The record is from RNAcentral.
CGGGGGAAGAGAGGAAUGCUGGGGCAGGUGCCCGGAUGUGGGCUGGGCGCGUGCGCAGUGGGCUCCCGCGCAGUGGGCUCCCGCCCUGGUAGGUCGAGCCCAUCACCCCAAGCCGUGGCUCCGCGGCCGUCCUGGAAGCGGGAGCUGGUGCGGGAAACCGGGCGUUCCGUGAGAGCUCAGCGGGUCUGGCCUGCGCGGGAACCACUCCGAGGAGGGGCGGGGACGAGGAGUGCGCGGAGCUGCCAGGAAGAGCCAGGAAUCCUUUUCUCUUCCUCGCCAUCCUUUGCUUGGGAAUGGCGUCCGAUGCCCCAACACUUAAUCACACUUUGGAUGCGCAGUGGGAGGAGUGGAAGACAAAACACAACAAAAUCUACAGCAAAGUUGGUGACAUCAAAAGUGUUCCUGGGAAACAGAGAGAGACUCCAUAGCUGGGGAGGAGCUCCCAGAAGCCAGGUCAAACCAAGAAUGAAGAAGGAAAAAGGAGAGCAGUAUGGGAGGAGAACUUGA